Molecule: non-coding RNA, 71 nt
Organism: Gymnothorax javanicus (giant moray)
Lineage: Eukaryota; Metazoa; Chordata; Actinopteri; Anguilliformes; Muraenidae
Source: the annotation of a GenBank genome assembly
GCCCCGGUGGCCCAGUGGUUACUCUCCCGCCUGUGGUGUGGGCGACGCAGGUUCGAUUCCCGCCAUCAGUG